This is a long non-coding RNA of Bombus terrestris (buff-tailed bumblebee), 3414 nucleotides long. RefSeq lists it as uncharacterized. The record is from RefSeq and is a predicted model, not a curated record. Lineage: Eukaryota; Metazoa; Arthropoda; Insecta; Hymenoptera; Apidae. The transcript is spliced from 2 exons.
GUUCGACGAAAUCUGAAACUGAAAAACAUCUUUUUCGCAUAUCGUGGAGAUCGUUAAGUCAUUUGCAUCCAAGCGCCGAUUAAUUCACGCGCUACAACUGUCUUCUAUCAACAAGUGCGGAUUAUUACGCAAUCGGACGACUUUCUUCUAUCACCAAACGCGGAUUAUUACGCGCGCUACGACUGCUUUUUAUUUCAGUCGCUAAAUAUUCUUCAGAGAUCACGUUUGACCCGUUUGCCAGCAUCUCGCCUAUAUCAGUUUAUUAUUUUCUAAACAAGUCUUACUUUUGUUGUGAAAAUCUUGUUAACUUCCACUCUGAAUAGAUCGUUUUUACUUUUCUCCUCUGUUAUAAACAAUGUAAGACGCGAUAUUUGCGAAGUAACACUGUCUGCCAAUCGUUUUGAAUGGUAAAUACUCGAUAAAUUCCAUGAAGAAUUCGGAUGUCAUUUACUGUACCUACGACCGAACGCCGCUGAUGCCUUCAAUUGCCCUGUUAACCAAAUCUCAACGUGAUCGUCGCGAAGAAAUGGGACUCCACGAAUUCCGAUAGUUUCUAUGAUUAAUAUUUAUAUAAGUAAUAAAUUUUGUAUCGGCUUGUAUAAAUUCCACUAUCAUAAAAGUGCAGACGAAAGUAUUGUUGAAGCAGAUAAAAGAUGAUAUCUCGUAUGGAAAUUCGACAAAAAAAUUUAUGUGACAGCAUUAGUAAAAAAUCGCAAUAUAUCGCGCGCAAUAUGCUGCUAAAAGAUUCUUUCAGGAAGUAUUUAAAUAUUCUAGUGAGUCAUCGGUAUACGCAACCAAGUUACCGAAAUACACGUUCUCAAAAACGUAGCCUUGUGUGGGCAAAUUUUAUUUUGCCAAAUUAUUCGAGACUAAAAUCCGUAGGAAAUUAACAGUAAAAGGUAGAAAUUUAUGCUUCGAAAACGAAGCAGUUUUCGAACUCUUUUUAAACGGCUCGCGUUCAUCUUCUGUUCUUUCAGCUCAGCCUGGAUCGCUCUAAAAUCGUGUCGCGUCCCUGAAAAGAUUCGUUCGACUGGACGACGGUCAGUUCUCGGAGCCGAAAUUGCACAACGCGAUGGCUGUCGAAAAGGAGAAAGAAAGGCGGUAAAAGGCGUGAAGCAAACGAAAGAAAGAGACACGUUUAUCGGAUCGGGCGAACGUUCGAGGACGUUGAGACGCGGCCGUCGACAAAAUCGAAGAAAACGCGCGGGAACGAAAGUCCGAUUGAACUUUCUUCGGUUGGCUGGACCAGCCGGAGUUAAGUGAGAGUGAGUUUGUUACACACGUUACGUCACUCACGAAUCACGAAACGAAAGACCGCGUCGAUUGUGUACGAAGGAUUGCCUCGGCUAUCGUCACGACCUUUCUACGCAGGUUCUUUCGAACGAUUCCCCUAAAUUGUUUAUUAAUCCAUUUGCAGCUACUUAUUUGACUGUACUUAAGAGCGACGCUUGGUUCGUUUUCUUCUUCUUUUCUGCGCAACCAAAAUUCUGUUUGACAAUACAGCGUAACACGGUUUGCGAAAUUGGCCAAUUCUGCCUGAUCAUCGUAUUUUCACCUGGAAGAUUUGCCGGAUACGCUUGGCCAGAAAUUACAAGAAGCUACGACGGAGAAACUCGAUCACCGUGAAAUUCAUUCAGACCGACCUCGAUAAAGUUACCUGGUAUUAACAAAUAUGACGCAACUUUGUUCCAUUUAAACGUAUGAUAUUUCGUCGAUGAAAAAACAGUUGCACGAAAUGAAAGAUUACGUAUAAAAUCAUUCGCGAGAGAGUUUCCGUCUACGCAAAAGGGCCACUACUUUUAUCAAACUAUAUCGUAUCUUCUAUCGUAUUUGGUUGUUAGCUUAUAGUCUUCCCUAUGCCAAGAAUUUAGAAAUUUUCGAAUGCUCACUCUUCCAAUAAAAUAACGAGCUGAGUGUCUUUCUCUUUGUCCUACGAUAUAUUAUUUCUUCUGUUACAAUACGUUCGAUUCAUCGACCGAGAAAUCAAUUGAUUACUUGAUAUUCAGUUUCUGUGAUCUGUCGAGUCGUCAAAGCUAGCCAGCGGUUGUUCUAUGAAAAUAUUUCGACAUAGUAUCGUGAUAAACACGUAGUACAAUGGUUUCUGCAAGUCUCACUUCGUUAAGCUAUAAAUUAUAUCGAUACUUGAUUAGAAUUUUUAAAAGCAUAAACCUGCGAAGUAGAUAGAUCGUGUCGAUUAACGUUCGACACGUGGCCGUGUCUUUCUUUUUUGUGAAAUCGUACAUUUCUCUUUCAGCGAAAUAUUCUAUAUGCAUAGCUUCUGAAAUACGCUUACAUGUGAGCUAUAGUUUUUGUAACUUAUGCAAUAAUGCGUUGCGCAAUAGUAUUUAUAAUUAGGAUUUUACCCUUCUUAUAUUCGUUCACGGUUGAGAAGCUUUCUUCGUGUAAAGAGAGUUGGAAAAUCAUGAAAUACAAGACCGACGAUUAAUCAUUCAACAAAAGCUUGAGGAAGUAACUUUUCAUAUUUCAUGGCGAACGAACAACGAACAUGUUGGCUAUAUGUUGCGAACAUGUAAACAACCGGACGUGGGAAAAGAGACAAGCGUCAAGCAGAUUGGUAAAUAUCCUCGAGUUCAUAGUAGACGCGCAAGUUCAUUGAAGAAGAGCUGUCCACGCGAAGGUCCAACGAAAUGGAAAGUGAUUAGACGUAACUUUAAAUAAGCGCAUCUUCCUCAAUAUGUUGUCGGUAGAGAAACAGAGAUAUCUGAAGAAAUACUCAUUGUGGAAGACAGUGAAAUAUUUUAAUGCGACGAAUAUGUGGAAAAUUUUGAGACAAUCAAAGAAUUCCAUUCUUUGGCUCUUUUAUUCUAGUCCUGCGAUAGAAUUAAUGUUACUGUUAGUAGAAUAAAUUCUGGAUUUCUUAGCAAGAGGUAAUUGUCAAAUUAUGAAUAAAUAAUUAUUAGGAAGAAUGAACAAUUUCUUACUUUUUCGUUUAGCAUGUAUUUGCUAUUACAUUAUACUUGGUACGAUAUGUGUUUGUCAAGUAUGAUUAAAAGAACGAGUGGAAUACGAUCAAUGGAAUUAUAAUUGAAAUUUCGUUCGGAUUGUAAUCUUCUUCUGGUCUAUUUCUAGACAAAAAUGGUUAAUUCGCAUAAUUAAAUAUCAUUCGACAGUGAAAACGACCUUCACGCAGAACGUGCGUGCGUAAACGAUCUUAAGUUUUCCAAGAACUGGAUCGACCGACGCAAAAAUUACGAUGAAGUUAAAUACGUGAGUGUAAUAACGUAUAAUUACAGAUAAAUUGCAUUUUAAUGCUAAUUUGAAAUAAUGAAAAUGAAGUCAUUUCGCCUAGUGACGAAGUAAUUGUUAAGAUAAUUUCAAUUUAUUAAAACUCGUAAGAUAAAUAGAAAAGCAUUGAGUUUUACUAUUUUGUGUAUGCAAUAAAAUGUUCGAACA